UUAAAAUGUUUCGCAGAUAAAACCUACACUUGGAAGCUUUAUUUUUAGGAGUGUACUUUGGUAGAGAGGUUCUUCACAUGAGAAGAUCCUCACUCACAGUGGAGCUGCAUUUGCACAGCCUGACUGCAGACAGGUUUCCCAAGGUGUUUUACCCCAGCUUUAAUCUAUAUUAAAUGAUUUAGUUUCACAAGAUGAAAGCCUGUUGUUUGUUUAACAAAACUUUCCCAGGUACAGUCACUGCCUGAAGCCUGCCAAAGGUUGAAGAUACAGAGAGAGAGCGAGAGAGUUUGCACAACCCAAACAAUGUUCUUCAGGCGUUCUAGAAAUUGGAAUCAGUGCUGCUCGUUCUUAUAUAUUAAACAUAUGUAAGCAUAUAUAGAAGCAUUACUGUAUUCAAACCUGCCUACGAGGGGCAAAUUUAUCAGCAAGUCCUCAGCGUUCUUGACGGGUCAAAGGGACCUUUUCAUUAGCCGUAAUGCUGGGAAGAGAUCUGCCGUAGUGUGGGAGAUGGAAUAAUUGUUUGGAAUGGGGAUUCUCAGUGGACUCUUCUGAGCUUGUCAGCUGGUGUUUGAAGUGUGCUCUGACAUUGGGAAAGGGGUUGAGCAGGAAACAGGCUCUCAAAUGGAAAAGGGAGGAGAGCGAAAGAGAACAGAAGAGGAAAGACAAAGGUGACUUCACAGAACUUAGACUAAGCUUAAGAACCUCAAGGACCCGGAAAAAAGACCUUGAGAUUUCCACUGGCUCAUCACUUAUUCUACACUCAGGAGGGCUCUACCUUUACCAUGCUGGAGAGAAGCGGCAUCUCUGA
Long non-coding RNA from Cyprinus carpio (common carp), 808 nucleotides. NCBI's taxonomy places the organism in Eukaryota, Metazoa, Chordata, Actinopteri, Cypriniformes, Cyprinidae. The record is from Ensembl.